This 274-nucleotide ribosomal RNA is filed under the name uncultured bacterium. RNAcentral describes it as "partial 16S ribosomal RNA". It matches the Rfam family "Bacterial small subunit ribosomal RNA", at positions 523 to 796 of the family's 1533-position model. The record is from RNAcentral.
AUACGGAGGGUGCAAGCGUUAAUCGGAAUUACUGGGCGUAGAGAGUACGUAGGCGGCCUACUAAGUCAGAUGUGAAAGCCCAGGGCUCAACCUUGGAACUGCAUUUGAAACUGGUAGGCUAGAGUAGGGUAGAGGGGGGUAGAAUUUCUGGUGUAGCGGUGAAAUGCGUAGAUAUCAGAAGGAAUACCAGUGGCGAAGGCGGCCCCCUGGCCCAAUACUGACGCUGAGGUACGAAAGCGUGGGUAGCGAACGGGAUUAGAAACCCGGGUAGUCC